GGGAGGGUGGUCUAGCUUGGUAUGAUACCGUAGGAAUAUGUCUUCUAGCCAAGUGGCCGAGGGUUCGAAUCCCUCCUCUCCCA
Molecule: transfer RNA, 83 nt
Filed under: Promethearchaeota archaeon Loki_b31
Lineage: Archaea; Promethearchaeati; Promethearchaeota
Description: Candidatus Lokiarchaeota archaeon Loki_b31 tRNA-Arg
Rfam family: tRNA
About the family: Transfer RNA (tRNA) molecules are approximately 80 nucleotides in length. Their secondary structure includes four short double-helical elements and three loops (D, anti-codon, and T loops). Further hydrogen bonds mediate the characteristic L-shaped molecular structure. tRNAs have two regions of fundamental functional importance: the anti-codon, which is responsible for specific mRNA codon recognition, and the 3' end, to which the tRNAs corresponding amino acid is attached (by aminoacyl-tRNA synthetases). tRNAs cope with the degeneracy of the genetic code in two manners: having more than one tRNA (with a specific anti-codon) for a particular amino acid; and 'wobble' base-pairing, i.e. permitting non-standard base-pairing at the 3rd anti-codon position.
Source: RNAcentral